CCUACGGGAGGCUGCAGUGAGGAAUAUUGGUCAAUGGGCGGAAGCCUGAACCAGCCAAGUAGCGUGCAGGAUGACGGCCCUACGGGUUGUAAACUGCUUUUAUACGGGAAUAACGCGCCUUACGUGUAGGGCUUUGCAUGUACCGUAUGAAUAAGGACCGGCUAAUUCCGUGCCAGCAGCCGCGGUAAUACGGAAGGUCCGGGCGUUAUCCGGAUUUAUUGGGGUUAAAGGGAGCGUAGGCCGCAUGUCAAGCGUGCUGUGAAAUUUUCGGGCUCAACCCGGGCCUUGCAGUGCAUACUGGCUUGCUUGAGUCCGCGGAAAGCAGGCGGAAUUCGUCGUGUAGCGGUGAAAUGCUUAGAUAUGACGAAGAACCCCGAUUGCGAAGGCAGCUUGCUGCAGCGGAACUGACGCUGAUGCUCGAAAGCGCGGGUAUCGAACAGGAUUAGAUACCCGAGUAGUC
RNAcentral lists this ribosomal RNA (460 nucleotides) under uncultured bacterium. RNAcentral describes it as "partial 16S ribosomal RNA". It matches the Rfam family "Bacterial small subunit ribosomal RNA", at positions 338 to 795 of the family's 1533-position model. The record is from RNAcentral.